GAGAGGUUGGCUCGGGCAGGCGCCUUGCCAACCCGGUCAGGUCCGGAAGGAAGCAGCCGUAACAAGUCCCGUCUGGGUCGAUGUCCAGCCUCUCACU
The sequence is a non-coding RNA, 97 nucleotides long. It matches the Rfam family "Bacterial small signal recognition particle RNA". From Rfam's summary of the family: The signal recognition particle (SRP) is a universally conserved ribonucleoprotein involved in the co-translational targeting of proteins to membranes. Archaeal SRP consists of a 7S RNA and homologues of the eukaryotic SRP19 and SRP54 proteins. The record is from Rfam.